GGAAGGGUGACCGAGUGGUUGAAGGUACCGGUCUUGAAAACCGGCGUGCGGUAACACGUACCGAGGGUUCGAAUCCCUCCCCUUCCGCCA
This 90-nucleotide transfer RNA is filed under the name Candidatus Saccharibacteria bacterium oral taxon 488. RNAcentral describes it as "tRNA-Ser". It matches the Rfam family "tRNA". From Rfam's summary of the family: Transfer RNA (tRNA) molecules are approximately 80 nucleotides in length. Their secondary structure includes four short double-helical elements and three loops (D, anti-codon, and T loops). Lineage: Bacteria; Candidatus Saccharimonadota. The record is from RNAcentral. RNAcentral also lists the same sequence under 3 other names.